This 356-nucleotide RNase P RNA is filed under the name Conchiformibius kuhniae. RNAcentral's name for it is "Bacterial RNase P class A". It matches the Rfam family "Bacterial RNase P class A". Rfam says of the family: Ribonuclease P (RNase P) is a ubiquitous endoribonuclease, found in archaea, bacteria and eukarya as well as chloroplasts and mitochondria. Its best characterised activity is the generation of mature 5'-ends of tRNAs by cleaving the 5'-leader elements of precursor-tRNAs. Cellular RNase Ps are ribonucleoproteins. The record is from Rfam by way of RNAcentral. Lineage: Bacteria; Pseudomonadati; Pseudomonadota; Betaproteobacteria; Neisseriales; Neisseriaceae.
CAGGCAGGGCAGACAGCCGCCGCGUGGCAACACGGGGAGGAAAGUCCGGGCUGCACAGGGCAGGAUGCCGGCUAACGCCGAAAGGUACGGCAACGUAACGGAAAGUGAAGCAGAAAGCCAAACCGCCGACGGCUUCCGCAAGGAAGAUUCGGGCAAGGGUGAAAAGGUGCGGUAAGAGCGCACCGCGCGCUUGGCAACAAUGCGCGGCAGGUCAAACCCCAUCCGCAGCAAGAGCAAACAGAACGCAUUGACGCGAGCCGCCGAGCGUUCGGGUAGCUUGCUUGAGCCUGCCGGCAACGGCAGCGCAAGAGAAUGGCUGUCCACGACAGAACCCGGCUUACCGCCCAGCCUGUUUU